This 393-nucleotide ribosomal RNA is filed under the name uncultured bacterium. RNAcentral describes it as "partial 16S ribosomal RNA". It matches the Rfam family "Bacterial small subunit ribosomal RNA", at positions 523 to 918 of the family's 1533-position model. The record is from RNAcentral.
AUACGGAGGAUCCGAGCGUUAUCCGGAUUUAUUGGGUUUAAAGGGAGCGUAGGUGGACAGUUAAGUCAGUUGUGAAAGUUUGCGGCUCAACCGUAAAAUUGCAGUUGAUACUGGCUGUCUUGAGUACAGUAGAGGUGGGCGGAAUUCGUGGUGUAGCGGUGAAAUGCUUAGAUAUCACGAAGAACUCCGAUUGCGAAGGCAGCUCACUGGACUGCAACUGACACUGAUGCUCGAAAGUGUGGGUAUCAAACAGGAUUAGAUACCCUGGUAGUCCACACAGUAAACGAUGAAUACUCGCUGUUUGCGAUAUACAGUAAGCGGCCAAGCGUAAGCAUUAAGUAUUCCACCUGGGGAGUACGCCGGCAACGGUGAAACUCAAAUGAAUUGACGGGG